Molecule: long non-coding RNA, 263 nt
Organism: Sapajus apella (tufted capuchin)
Lineage: Eukaryota; Metazoa; Chordata; Mammalia; Primates; Cebidae
Exons: 2
Source: RefSeq, a predicted model, not a curated record
CUCCUGACCUCAGUUGAUCCACCUGUCUCGGCCUCCCAAAGUGCUGGGAUUACAGGCAUGAGCCACCUUGCCCAGCCAAGACAUCAGUACUUUUUAAGUCCCUUCCCCCAAGGUGGUUCCUAAGUGCAAAGCAGCUCCACAGCUGGUGACUUACAACAUUUAAAAAGGUAAUUGUAUUGUUUUAAGAACAGACUAGCAGUUUCUAGAGGCUGGGGUAAGGAGAGUGGGUCCACUAGGGCAAUAAAGUGUGGGAUUUGGAAACA